GAUGAAGAACGUAAUGAAAUGCGAUAAGUAAUGUGAAUUGCAGAAUUCAGUGAAUCAUCGAAUCUUUGAACGCACCUUGCGCCCUUUGGCUAUUCCGAAGGGCAUGCCUGUUUGAGUAUCAUGAACACCUCAACUCUCAUGGUUUGCCAUGAUGAGCUUGGACUUUGGGGGUCUUGCCGGCCUAUGGGUCGGCUCCUCUCAAAUUAAUCAGCUUGCCAGUGUUUGGUGGCAUCACAGGUGUGAUAACUAUCUACGCUUGUGGUUUUCCAUCAGGUAACCUUCAGUGAUGGAGGUUCGCUGGGGCUCAUAAAUGUCUCUCCUCAGUGAGGACAGCUUUUUUGAACGUUUGAUCUCAAAUCAGGUAGGACUACCCGCUGAACUUAAGCAUAUCAAUAAGCGGAGGA
Molecule: unclassified non-coding RNA, 404 nt
Filed under: soil metagenome
Description: partial contains 5.8S ribosomal RNA, internal transcribed spacer 2, and large subunit ribosomal RNA
Rfam family: 5.8S ribosomal RNA (bases 1-121)
Source: RNAcentral